GACGAACGCUGGCGGCGUGCCUAAUACAUGCAAGUCGAACGCACUCUCGUUUAGAUUGAAGGAGCUUGCUCCUGAUUGAUAAACAUUUGAGUGAGUGGCGGACGGGUGAGUAACACGUGGGUAACCUGCCCUAAAGUGGGGGAUAACAUUUGGAAACAGAUGCUAAUACCGCAUAAAACCUAACACCGCAUGGUGUAGGUUGAAAGAUGGUUUCGGCUAUCACUUUAGGAUGGACCCGCGGUGCAUUAGUUAGUUGGUGAGGUAAAGGCUCACCAAGACCGUGAUGCAUAGCCGACCUGAGAGGGUAAUCGGCCACACUGGGACUGAGACACGGCCCAGACUCCUACGGGAGGCAGCAGUAGGGAAUCUUCCACAAUGGACGAAAGUACUGAUGGAGCAACGCCGCGUGAGUGAAGAAGGUUUUACGGUAGUCGUAAAACGUACUGUUGUUGGUAGAAGAAUGUAUCUGAUAGUAACU
RNAcentral lists this ribosomal RNA (478 nucleotides) under uncultured bacterium. RNAcentral describes it as "bacterial SSU rRNA". It matches the Rfam family "Bacterial small subunit ribosomal RNA", at positions 28 to 467 of the family's 1533-position model. The record is from RNAcentral.